AUAAAACAAGUUACAAUAGCCUAAUCAGCCUGUAUAUAACAUACAGCGUCAGGUGACCCCCAAGAGGACAAACCCUCUGAAUACAUAUUAACCAUCCUUGAUACUCCAACCCAACUACAUCAAUAUAAACACAAAGAGAAAUACAAAAAGGCAUACAAUCAUGACUGCAGCUGCCUUCUUAGUCCAUCCUGUCUCGAAUUACCUGCAGCAACACAAUUCAACCUAAACCAAACAUCAUCCCCUAAUUGCCAAACCUGCAGAUUAAUACGGUAUUGCAGCAACCAAAUUAAGACUUCAUUCCUUGAUCCCUGUAGACAGCCUCAACAUUCUACCUGCACUCUUGAAGAUCCUUCACAAACAUUAUAGUCUACAACCACUGUACUCCCUGCAUGAUAGAAACCUGCAAACAGUUUCAGCCUUUCCACACCGGCCAUACAUGAAUAAGGGAACAAAACUAAGCCAAGUAAAAAUCCAUAAAAAUAAAAAUAAAUGAUGCUCUAACUAUGUGAGACUCCAACAAAUUAGAAAUCAUAGAAAAUUACAAAAACCAACCUGAUUGAUAGUUACUAACCAUUGUUGCAGAUUAACUAAUUGAAUCCAAUGUCCAAGAAAUAAAACCAGAAAAUAUGAAUACUAAAAUGUAACUUCAUACCAAGCAAUUAUUAAAAACCAAGCAAUUAAUUAAGCAAUACUCAUUUCAGGGUCUGUUUCCUAACACUUGGUUGCAUAUUUGGUUAAGUAUAUGAUAACUGUAUUAAUAGUGUCCAGAUUAUUGAAAACUAACCUGGAUCAAGGCUGCCAGAACUAAUUAACACACCUUCAGCUGCUACCAUUCUCUACUGUUGUGUGUGUGCCUUGUACACUGCUUGUCUCAUUAUUGUUGCCCUGUACAAAGAUAGAGUCAUCAGCCAACAACACAUGCAAAGUACUUGCUUGCUACAAACCAUUCCCUAACAUUUUGUCUCAUAACAUCAAAAUUCAGCCACAGACUGCAACUUUGCAGCCAACUCUGAAAAGCAAGAGAUAUCCCUUAGUUCCAGUAAGAAUCCAUAGAUUAAAAAAAACUUUGAAUUAAAGCAUUUCUGCAAUAAGAAUUUUACCUCAAAUGGAAGGCACAACAU
This 1121-nucleotide long non-coding RNA is filed under the name Aquilegia coerulea. Its description in RNAcentral is "long non-coding RNA (ACOE_LNC002077)". The record is from RNAcentral. Lineage: Eukaryota; Viridiplantae; Streptophyta; Magnoliopsida; Ranunculales; Ranunculaceae.